GAGUUUGAUCUUGGCUCAGAACGAACGCUGGCGGCAGGCUUAACACAUGCAAGUCGAACGGUUGUAGCAAUACAGCAGUGGCGCACGGGUGAGUAACACGUGGAUAUCUGCCUUUUGGUUCGGAAUAACCCUGGGAAACUAGGGCUAAUACCGAAUGGUUCCUACGGGAUAAAGAUUUAUCGCCAAAAGAUGAGUCCGCGUCCGAUUAGCUAGUUGGUGAGGUAAUGGCUCACCAAGGCGACGAUCGGUAGCUGGUCUGAGAGGACGAUCAGCCACACUGGGACUGAGACACGGCCCAGACUCCUACGGGAGGCAGCAGUGGGGAAUAUUGGACAAUGGGGGCAACCCUGAUCCAGCCAUGCCGCGUGAGUGAUGAAGGCC
Molecule: ribosomal RNA, 381 nt
Filed under: uncultured Alphaproteobacteria bacterium
Lineage: Bacteria; Pseudomonadati; Pseudomonadota; Alphaproteobacteria
Description: bacterial SSU rRNA
Rfam family: Bacterial small subunit ribosomal RNA
Source: RNAcentral